AACGAACGCUGGCGGCAUGCCUAACACAUGCAAGUCGAACGGGAUCCUGGCUUCGGCCAGGUGAGAGUGGCGGACGGGUGAGUAACGCGUGGGAACCUGCCCAUUGGUCUGGGAUAACUGCGGGAAACUGCAACUAAUACCGGAUGUACCCGAGAGGGGAAAGAUUUAUCGCCGAUGGAGGGGCCCGCGUCAGAUUAGGUAGUUGGUGAGGUAACGGCUCACCAAGCCUACGAUCUGUAGCUGGUCUGAGAGGAUGAUCAGCCACACUGGGACUGAGAUACGGCCCAGACUCCUACGGGAGGCAGCAGUGGGGAAUAUUGGACAAUGGGGGGCAACCCUGAUCCAGCAAUGCCGCGUGAGUGAUGAAGGCCUUAGGGUUGUAAAGCUCUUUUACCAGGGACGAUGAUGACGGUACCUGGAGAAUAAGCCCCGGCUAACUUCGUGCCAGCAGCCGCGGUAAU
This 461-nucleotide ribosomal RNA is filed under the name uncultured bacterium. RNAcentral describes it as "bacterial SSU rRNA". It matches the Rfam family "Bacterial small subunit ribosomal RNA", at positions 29 to 524 of the family's 1533-position model. The record is from RNAcentral.